This is a small nucleolar RNA of Oryctolagus cuniculus (rabbit), 133 nucleotides long. The record is from Ensembl. NCBI's taxonomy places the organism in Eukaryota, Metazoa, Chordata, Mammalia, Lagomorpha, Leporidae.
GCAUGGGUUUGGAUUUAUGGCAGGCCGGUUCCCCUGGGCGUCUCAUAAUAUUCCAUGGCAGAGCAAUCUAUGAUCCCAAACCAUUGGCUGGCAUCUGUCCUUAGGUGUUGGCACUGAAGUGGGUUGCACAGUA